RNAcentral lists this ribosomal RNA (319 nucleotides) under uncultured eukaryote. RNAcentral's name for it is "partial 18S ribosomal RNA". It matches the Rfam family "Eukaryotic small subunit ribosomal RNA", at positions 1470 to 1796 of the family's 1831-position model. The record is from RNAcentral.
CCCCUAGAUGUUCUGGGCCGCACGCGCGCUACACUGAACAGUUCAACAAGUCUUAACCUUGGCCGAUAGGUCUGGGUAAUCUUUGAACGCUGUUCGUGAUUGGGAUAGACCUUUGCAAUUAUGGGUCUUCAACGAGGAAUUCCUAGUAAACGCAAGUCAUCAGCUUGCAUUGAUUACGUCCCUGCCCUUGUACACACCGCCCGUCGCACCUACCGAUUGAAUGGUCCGGUGAAAUCUCGGGACGGCGGCUUGGUCGCUUGCGUCCGACUGCUGAAACUUGAUUAAACCAUAUCAUUUAGAGGAAGGUGAANUCGUAACA